This is a long non-coding RNA of Perca flavescens (yellow perch), 508 nucleotides long. RefSeq lists it as uncharacterized. NCBI's taxonomy places the organism in Eukaryota, Metazoa, Chordata, Actinopteri, Perciformes, Percidae. The record is from RefSeq and is a predicted model, not a curated record. The transcript is spliced from 3 exons.
AAGGUUGCUUCCAGCUGGAGGUGAGUCGAAAAGGCUGGGCCUCAAGUCAACGGCUGUAGAGCAGAGGUCACUAGAUGAAGAACACUAUGGAAGACAAAGGACCAAAAUACUUUUUGUUUCCCCAACUACAAAAGUUUUUAUAUACACCUUUUAAAAUCUGAACUGCUACAAUAAAGGAGGAGCGGGGUCGACCUGGCAAGGACGGCGACGGAACGGAGCCAAUUAAGCAACCGGAGCGGUCCCCGGGGCAGCCGUCGUCUUCUGAACACAAACGAUGCAGAGUCUGAGAUUCCACCAGGUGCAGAUGCGCUGCAUUCUGGCUGUGCCGUGGUUUUGUUUCAUCCUCACACCACACUGGGAGUGUUUCAGAAUCAGAGCAUUUUGUUUGUAGAUUCAGUUGACUUUUUUCCUGGAUAUUAAUGCUUUUAUCAUAAAGGUCUUCUUGUGUGCCUCACUGCUCUCCUGUGCUUCAACGUCAGGUUUUUCACCCUUCCUCUGUGGAUCAACG